GUGCUCACUGCAGCAGCCUCUAUACUAAACGGAAAGCAAUAGAGUGAAGAUUAGCAUGACCCCUGCUUAGGAGGAUGACACGUACAUUCGUGAAACAUUCCAUGUUUUU
Echinops telfairi (small Madagascar hedgehog) is the source of this 109-nucleotide small nuclear RNA. NCBI's taxonomy places the organism in Eukaryota, Metazoa, Chordata, Mammalia, Afrosoricida, Tenrecidae. The record is from Ensembl.